This 626-nucleotide ribosomal RNA is filed under the name uncultured bacterium. Its description in RNAcentral is "bacterial SSU rRNA". It matches the Rfam family "Bacterial small subunit ribosomal RNA", at positions 338 to 944 of the family's 1533-position model. The record is from RNAcentral.
CCUACGGGAGGCAGCAGCGGGGAAUUUUUGGACAAUGGACGCAAGUCUGAUCCAGCCAUGCCGCGUGCGGGAAGAAGGCCUUCGGGUUGUAAACCGCUUUUGUCGGGGAAGAAACGAGUUUCUCUAAUACAGAGACUUAAUGACGGUACCUGAAGAAUAAGCACCGGCUAACUACGUGCCAGCAGCCGCGGUAAUACGUAGGGUGCAAGCGUUAAUCGGAAUUACUGGGCGUAAAGCGUGCGCAGGCGGUUAUGCAAGACAGAUGUGAAAUCCCCGGGCUCAACCUGGGAACUGCAUUUGUGACUGCAUGGCUAGAGUACGGUAGAGGGGGAUGGAAUUCCGCGUGUAGCAGUGAAAUGCGUAGAUAUGCGGAGGAACACCGAUGGCGAAGGCAAUCCCCCUGGACCUGUACUGACGCUCAUGCACGAAAGCGUGGGGGAGCAAACAGGAUUAGAUACCCCUGGUAAGUCCACGCCCUAAAACGAUGUACAACUGGUUGUUAGGGUAGGGUUUUCCUUCUCAAGUAACGAAGCUAACGCGUGAAGUUGACCGCGUGGGGAGUACGGCCGNAAGGUUGAACUCGAAAGAUUGAGNGNGAGAGNGCGAGACGACGACGAGGGAGGAGG